RNAcentral lists this long non-coding RNA (410 nucleotides) under Gossypium raimondii (Peruvian cotton). RNAcentral's name for it is "long non-coding RNA (GRAI_LNC011115)". The record is from RNAcentral. Lineage: Eukaryota; Viridiplantae; Streptophyta; Magnoliopsida; Malvales; Malvaceae.
UGAAAAAAGAAAAAGCCCCCCUGAAAAUACAAUCUUUUCCGUAUUUAUAGCCGAAUGCUCCCCUUUGUUCUUUGCUCUGUUUUCUUGUUUUGUUUCGUCUUUGCAGGUGACGGCGCAAGUAGGCAUGGUGGUGAUGGACGCGGAUGGGACGUCCGGCGGCGGUGGCGGCAACUGGCAGAAGGCCAAGAGUCAAAAGGCAAAGGAGGAGGCGGCACCUAAGGUUUCAGUCUCUGAAACCCUAAGCAGAUAUUUUUAGGGAAAUUGGGCCGGUGCAUCUGGGCUUCGGUUUGGGUUGUAAUUGGGGUUUGGGUUGUAUUUGGGUAGGCUUAGUUUGGGCUGGGCAAAAUUGGCUUGUACAGCAUAUAAGUAGAUUUUUUUUCUUUAUUAAACGAUUGAAUAUUUGAUUGAGU